UUGGAGGGCAAGUCUGGUGCCAGCAGCCGCGGUAAUUCCAGCUCCAAUAGCGUAUAUUAAAGUUGUUGCAGUUAAAAAGCUCGUAGUUGAAUUUCGGGGUUCUACCGUUGGUCGGGCUUUGUCUGUACUGGUGUGUAGAAUUUCUACCUUCUGGGGAACCAUCAUGCUAUUAAUUUAGCGUGGUGGGAAACCAGGACCUUUACCUUGAAAAAAUUAGUGUGUUCAAAGCAGGCUUAUGUCUGAAUACAUUAGCGUGGAAUAAUAGAAUAGGACGGUGGUCCUGUUUUGUUGGUUUCUGAAUCACCGUAAUGAUUAAUAGGGAUAGUUGGGGGCAUUAGUAUUCAGUUGUCAGAGGUGAAAUUCUUGGAUUUAUUGAAGACUAACUUCUGCGAAAGCAUUUGCCAAGGAUGUUUUCAUUAAUCAAGAACGAAAGUUAGGGGAUCGAAGACGAUCAGAUACCGUCGUAGUCUUAACCAUAAACUAUGCCGACUAGGGAUCGGACGAUGUUAAUUUUUCUUGACUCGUUCGGCGCCUUACGGGAAAC
RNAcentral lists this ribosomal RNA (544 nucleotides) under uncultured Glomeromycotina. RNAcentral's name for it is "SSU rRNA". It matches the Rfam family "Eukaryotic small subunit ribosomal RNA", at positions 548 to 1098 of the family's 1831-position model. Lineage: Eukaryota; Fungi; Glomeromycota. The record is from RNAcentral.